Podarcis lilfordi (Lilford's wall lizard) is the source of this 87-nucleotide non-coding RNA. The record is from the annotation of a GenBank genome assembly. Lineage: Eukaryota; Metazoa; Chordata; Lepidosauria; Squamata; Lacertidae.
AGCCGGAUGGAAGGCUACAGCUUAGCAGGUAGAGCAUGUGCUUUGUGUGCAGCAGGUCGCGGGUUCAAUUCCCGACAACUCCAGUUA